Molecule: transfer RNA, 85 nt
Filed under: Candidatus Syntrophonatronum acetioxidans
Lineage: Bacteria; Bacillati; Bacillota; Clostridia; Eubacteriales; Syntrophomonadaceae
Description: tRNA-Leu
Rfam family: tRNA
About the family: Transfer RNA (tRNA) molecules are approximately 80 nucleotides in length. Their secondary structure includes four short double-helical elements and three loops (D, anti-codon, and T loops).
Source: RNAcentral
GCGAGGAUGGCGGAAUUGGCAGACGCGCUAGACUUAGGAUCUAGUGCCUUCAGGUGUGGGGGUUCGAGUCCCCCUCCUCGCACCA